CAGUCGCCACGGGAAUACAGAGGGUGCGAGCGUUAAUCGGAUUUACUGGGCGUAAAGCGUGCGUAGGCGGCUUCUUAAGUCGGAUGUGAAAUCCCUGAGCUUAACUUAGGAAUUGCAUUCGAUACUGGGAAGCUAGAGUAUGGGAGAGGAUGGUAGAAUUCCAGGUGUAGCGGUGAAAUGCGUAGAGAUCUGGAGGAAUACCGAUGGCGAAGGCAGCCAUCUGGCCUAAUACUGACGAUGAGGUACGAAAGCAUGGGGAGCAAACAGGAUUAGAUACCCCGGUAGUCCCUGUCUCUUAUAC
This 301-nucleotide ribosomal RNA is filed under the name uncultured bacterium. RNAcentral's name for it is "partial 16S ribosomal RNA". It matches the Rfam family "Bacterial small subunit ribosomal RNA", at positions 509 to 807 of the family's 1533-position model. The record is from RNAcentral.